RNAcentral lists this ribosomal RNA (252 nucleotides) under uncultured bacterium. RNAcentral's name for it is "partial 16S ribosomal RNA". It matches the Rfam family "Bacterial small subunit ribosomal RNA", at positions 524 to 776 of the family's 1533-position model. The record is from RNAcentral.
UACGGAGGAUGCGAGCGUUAUCCGGAUUUAUUGGGUUUAAAGGGUGCGUAGGCGGACGCUUAAGUCAGCGGUAAAAUUGCGGGGCUCAACCUCGUCGAGCCGUUGAAACUGGGUGUCUUGAGUGGGCGAGAAGUACGCGGAAUGCGUGGUGUAGCGGUGAAAUGCAUAGAUAUCACGCAGAACUCCGAUUGCGAAGGCAGCGUACCGGCGCCCAACUGACGCUGAAGCACGAAGGCGUGGGUAUCGUACAGG